This 1134-nucleotide ribosomal RNA is filed under the name Triticum aestivum (bread wheat). Its description in RNAcentral is "partial small subunit ribosomal RNA". Lineage: Eukaryota; Viridiplantae; Streptophyta; Magnoliopsida; Poales; Poaceae. The record is from RNAcentral.
AUGGGUGCUACUAUCGAGCGUUCGUUUGGUGGUAGCCGUGGGCCUAAGAUUUUUAAGAUUAGUGGUCAGGUGUCCCAUCGUAUUGGUUCAUUGGUGCCUAAAGGUGAUGAUACCCCGAAGUUUGCUGAGUUGUAUAUACAUGACCCAGCUAAUGAGAUCAGGCAUAGGAUGAAUGCCUUGAAUCCAGAAGAUAAGCCUACUGGGGGUGUGGAUGAGAAUAUUGUGGUUGGUCUUAGAGACAUGCUUGAUGUAUCUAAUCCAUUGGUGCAAACCUUUAGGGAGGCGAGUAGGAUGAUAGAGGGUCGUGGGGAUGAGCCCAUCGAGGAUAUCUCGAUUCGUAUUAUUGGGCCUUCAAAGGGCGAUAGUCCCCAAUUUAGCUUGCCUACAACCACUGGACUUGCUGCUCUAAUAGUUGGUGGUGAUUUAACGUUAGAAGCGUCCUGUCGGGACAUUGUUGUUUGCAGCCGUUCCGAUGGUUUACAACAUAUAUCCUCUCUGAAUAUUGCGUUCAUGCUGCUGCAGUACCCGCUGCUCUUCCCUUAUGGAGAGAGGGGGUUUCAGGUCAAUGUUCCUCACGCUGGUGGUGGUGAUGAUUCCACUAAUAGUCGAAAUAGGAUGACCAUGCAGGAUUACUAUCGUUUUAUGUGUCACUAUAGAAGUGAUCAGCCUAAUCCCUAUAUAUGUUAUGGCCUUCUCUCCUCCCAGGCGGUAGUCGAUGCGCGUGCAUGCAUUGAUGAAAAUAGGUUGUGGUACAUCUUAAGAAACCAGGAUAUGCUGAGGUCGGAGCACAUGCAGGGCAUUGCUGAUGCGGUGGGUGAUGGGUGUGUUGAUGGUGAUGCUCUUGGGAAGAGAACCAUUGUACCUUCCAGUCAUACUGGUGGUCGUCACUAUUACAAUGAAAAUUUCCAUGAUGGUCUCGCAGUUUGUCGAGUGCACGGUGCGCCAGAUGUGUUUACCACUUUCACUUGCAAUCCCAAAUGGCCUGAGAUCACCAAUGCAUUGGAACCCGGUCAGACGCCUUCUGACAGGGCAAAUAUUGUUGUUAGGGUCUAUCACAUGAAGCUCAUCGAGUACUUAGACGAGAUCAAAUCCGGACGGGCUUUUGGUGCGGUUACUGUUGGUACUGUGUGCUGA